RNAcentral lists this ribosomal RNA (534 nucleotides) under Candida tropicalis. RNAcentral's name for it is "partial large subunit ribosomal RNA". It matches the Rfam family "Eukaryotic large subunit ribosomal RNA", at positions 56 to 595 of the family's 3401-position model. The record is from RNAcentral. Lineage: Eukaryota; Fungi; Ascomycota; Pichiomycetes; Serinales; Debaryomycetaceae.
GAAAAGAAACCAACAGGGAUUGCCUUAGUAGCGGCGAGUGAAGCGGCAAAAGCUCAAAUUUGAAAUCUGGCUCUUUCAGAGUCCGAGUUGUAAUUUGAAGAAGGUAUCUUUGGGUCUGGCUCUUGUCUAUGUUUCUUGGAACAGAACGUCACAGAGGGUGAGAAUCCCGUGCGAUGAGAUGAUCCAGGCCUAUGUAAAGUUCCUUCGAAGAGUCGAGUUGUUUGGGAAUGCAGCUCUAAGUGGGUGGUAAAUUCCAUCUAAAGCUAAAUAUUGGCGAGAGACCGAUAGCGAACAAGUACAGUGAUGGAAAGAUGAAAAGAACUUUGAAAAGAGAGUGAAAAAGUACGUGAAAUUGUUGAAAGGGAAGGGCUUGAGAUCAGACUUGGUAUUUUGUAUGUUACUUCUUCGGGGGUGGCCUCUACAGUUUAUCGGGCCAGCAUCAGUUUGGGCGGUAGGAGAAUUGCGUUGGAAUGUGGCACGGCUUCGGUUGUGUGUUAUAGCCUUCGUCGAUACUGCCAGCCUAGACUGAGGACU